RNAcentral lists this ribosomal RNA (504 nucleotides) under Triticum aestivum (bread wheat). RNAcentral describes it as "partial small subunit ribosomal RNA". The record is from RNAcentral. Lineage: Eukaryota; Viridiplantae; Streptophyta; Magnoliopsida; Poales; Poaceae.
AUGCCACGGUCAGUGCAGGUGCCAAAGUGGAUCCCACCAAUGGAAGGUUUUGUCAAAAUUAAUGUAGAUGGAGGAAUAGCCAAGAACAGUUGCAAGGGUGCGGCGGCCGCUGUGUGCCGAGACGCCCAAGGAGUUUACCUUGGCUCGUCCGCACGCAUCAUUGACAGUUGUGAUGACCCUGGAAUGCUUGAAGCAAUGGCAUGUUUGGAGGCCCUAUCCCUUGCAGCAGAUCUGAACCUCCGAAGGCUUAUUAUUGCUUGCGACGCGGAAGCGGUAGUUAAACAGAUUAAUGGAAGAAGUAAAGCUAUCUCCAACCCGAUUCUACAUGAGAUCAAUAUCCGUUGUCAGGAGUUCGAAGAGGUCUGGAUUAUCCAUGAAUGCAGAAUGUCUAAUAUGGAGGCUCACAAUUUUGUGAAAAGCGUUGUAUCAUUAGUUCAUGGUCGAUAUAAUUGGCUACUGCAGCCGAAUGACACUACAAUUGUACCAUAUAUUAUCAUGCAAUAA